RNAcentral lists this long non-coding RNA (673 nucleotides) under Pan troglodytes (chimpanzee). RNAcentral describes it as "long non-coding RNA NONPTRT011245". Lineage: Eukaryota; Metazoa; Chordata; Mammalia; Primates; Hominidae. The record is from RNAcentral.
AAGGCCGGCCGGCCGUGGAGGGGAAAUGGCUAGGCAGGAGUGCGGGGGGAGGGAGUGGUCCUUAGCUGAAUGCGCCUGCGUUGUGGCGGCCUCUGGCGCCCCAAGGUAGGGCUCACGCACUUUCUCCCUAGCAAGGAAUGCGCGUGCGCGUAAGCAGGGUUGUUGAUUAGUGCCCCCCACCCCCCCGACCCCCGAAAAGCGACCCCUAGUGGUGCACCGGUGCGGACCAGAAAAUGGCACGCUUUCUUGAAACAGAUGCUGAAGUCCAUGUGUGCCGGGCAGAGGCUAGCGAGCGAGCCCCAGGACCCUGCGGCCGUGUCUCUGCCCACGUCGAGCGUGCCCGAGACCCGAGGGAGAAAUAAAGGCAGCGCUGCCCUCGGGGGAGCAUUGGCCCUGGCGGAACGCAGCAGCCGCGAGGGAUCCAGCCAGAGGAUGCCACGGCAGCCCAGCGCUACCAGGCUGCCCAAGGGGGGCGGGCCUGGGAAGAGCCCUAUGCAGGGCAGCACCUAGGAUGGCGCAGAGACUUGUCACAUCUUUGUCCCCAGCAAAGGCUACGUGUUACCUCCUUCAGUUGAUAAUAAACCUUUCUGAGAUGCAGAGGGUCCAGGUCAGAUGCUCUCUACCGUUUUCUUUUUUUUUUUUUCAUAUUAAGGCACACUUAGAAUGAAGUUUC